Long non-coding RNA from Amphibalanus amphitrite, 750 nucleotides. RefSeq lists it as uncharacterized. The record is from RefSeq and is a predicted model, not a curated record. The transcript has 4 exons. Lineage: Eukaryota; Metazoa; Arthropoda; Thecostraca; Balanomorpha; Balanidae.
GGUUGUCAGGGUUGGGUCGCUUAUGCGGUUAUUUGACAUCCUGAAUUCAAAUAUAACACUCAGUUCUGGCGCAACUGCUUAUUUACCAAUGUCAGGGUUAGGUUAGGUAAUGUUAGGCUAGGUAAGGCUAUAAUAUUCUAUUUUUUUUUUGCGCCACUAACGUAUCAUUUGUAAUUUGGAAAUGUAAUAACCUUAGAAGUAACAAUUUAUGCAUGGAAUCGGUGCCGGACCUGUCAAUAUUUACCUCUAUUUGAAAGAUGGUGAUGAUAUUGACUGCUAACAUGACAGAUAGAUGUACUUAAUGUUUAAAAAUAAGGCCGAAAAUACAGAACAAGAAUCAAGAUUUCGUCUUUACUACAGCAUCAGGUAUUCUCACCUCGGGUUCCAACAUGCCCAAGCAUCAAUAUGUCGCGUUGCUGCAUCAAGGCUUGUUUUUUACAUUUUGAUUAUCAGAAAGGGCAAGCUGAGUCUCAUGGCAUCAAAAUGCACAGGGUUCCGGUGCAUGGAGAUAGCAGGCGAAAGGCCUGGCUGGAUGCCCUCGGCAUCCCAUACACCCACAAGAAACUUUACGUGUGCAGUCGCCAUUUCCGGACAGGAGACUUCCACCGCAGUGGCUACAUCUUACAUAAUGCUGUCCCUUCAAUGAAUCUCGGCACCGGAGGCGACUCGGCACCAGCGCCGCCAUGCGAUGUGCCAGCCGCUGGCGCGGCAGACGGAGGCGACUCGGCACAGGCGCCGCCAUGCGAUGUG